Molecule: transfer RNA, 88 nt
Filed under: Clostridium sp. 29_15
Lineage: Bacteria; Bacillati; Bacillota; Clostridia; Eubacteriales; Clostridiaceae
Description: tRNA-Gly
Rfam family: tRNA
About the family: Transfer RNA (tRNA) molecules are approximately 80 nucleotides in length. Their secondary structure includes four short double-helical elements and three loops (D, anti-codon, and T loops). Further hydrogen bonds mediate the characteristic L-shaped molecular structure. tRNAs have two regions of fundamental functional importance: the anti-codon, which is responsible for specific mRNA codon recognition, and the 3' end, to which the tRNAs corresponding amino acid is attached (by aminoacyl-tRNA synthetases). tRNAs cope with the degeneracy of the genetic code in two manners: having more than one tRNA (with a specific anti-codon) for a particular amino acid; and 'wobble' base-pairing, i.e. permitting non-standard base-pairing at the 3rd anti-codon position.
Source: RNAcentral
GCGGAAGUGGCUCAAUGGUAGAGCUCAAUGGUAGAGCACCACCUUGCCAAGGUGGAUGUUGCGGGUUCGAGUCCCGUCUUCCGCUCCA